Molecule: ribosomal RNA, 759 nt
Filed under: uncultured Bacilli bacterium
Lineage: Bacteria; Bacillati; Bacillota; Bacilli
Description: bacterial SSU rRNA
Rfam family: Bacterial small subunit ribosomal RNA
Source: RNAcentral
GACGAACGCUGGCGGCGUGCCUAAUACAUGCAAGUAGAACGCUGAAGGAGGAGCUUGCUUCUCCGGAUGAGUUGCGAACGGGUGAGUAACGCGUAGGUAACCUGCCUGGUAGCGGGGGAUAACUAUUGGAAACGAUAGCCAAUACCGCAUAACAGUAGAUAUUGCAUGAUAUCUGCUUGAAAGGUGCAAUUGCAUCACUACCAGAUGGACCUGCGUUGUAUUAGCUAGUUGGUGAGGUAACGGCUCACCAAGGCGACGAUACAUAGCCGACCUGAGAGGGUGAUCGGCCACACUGGGACUGAGACACGGCCCAGACUUCUACGGGAGGCAGCAGUAGGGAAUCUUCGGCAAUGGACGGAAGUCUGACCGAGCAACGCCGCGUGAGUGAAGAAGGUUUUCGGAUCGUAAAGCUCUGUUGUAAGAGAAGAACGAGUGUGAGAGUGGAAAGUUCACACUGUGACGGUAUCUUACCAGAAAGGGACGGCUAACUACGUGCCAGCAGCCGCGGUAAUACGUAGGUCCCGAGCGUUGUCCGGAUUUAUUGGGCGUAAAGCGAGCGCAGGCGGUUAGAUAAGUCUGAAGUUAAAGGCUGUGGCUUAACCAUAGUACGCUUUGGAAACUGUUUAACUUGAGUGCAAGAGGGGAGAGUGGAAUUCCAUGUGUAGCGGUGAAAUGCGUAGAUAUAUGGAGGAACACCGGUGGCGAAAGCGGCUCUCUGGCUUGUAACUGACGCUGAGGCUCGAAAGCGUGGGGAGCAAA